Molecule: non-coding RNA, 312 nt
Organism: Formosa sp. Hel1_33_131
Lineage: Bacteria; Pseudomonadati; Bacteroidota; Flavobacteriia; Flavobacteriales; Flavobacteriaceae
Rfam family: Bacterial RNase P class A
About the family: Ribonuclease P (RNase P) is a ubiquitous endoribonuclease, found in archaea, bacteria and eukarya as well as chloroplasts and mitochondria. Its best characterised activity is the generation of mature 5'-ends of tRNAs by cleaving the 5'-leader elements of precursor-tRNAs.
Source: Rfam
AAAGCAGAUCGCCUUAUCGCUGUUCGUUUUAAACGAAGGGAGGAAAGUCCGGACACCAUAGUGUAUUAUAGUGGCUAACGGCCACCAGUCGUAAGGCUAGGAAAAGUGCAACAGAAAGAAUGUACAGGUUAAGCUGUAGUGAAACCAGGUAAACUCUAUAAGGUGCAAUGUCAUGUAUAUCAGUGCUUGAGCGCGACACGUGCGAUGCUGAAGGGUAGGCAGCUAAAGUUUACUGGCAACAGUAAACGUAGAUAAAUGAUAAGGGUCACAUUUUGUGUGAUACAGGAUCCGGCUUAUAGAUCUGCUUUUUUU